Molecule: ribosomal RNA, 468 nt
Filed under: uncultured bacterium
Lineage: Bacteria
Description: partial 16S ribosomal RNA
Rfam family: Bacterial small subunit ribosomal RNA
Source: RNAcentral
GACGAACGCUGGCGGCGUGCUUAACACAUGCAAGUCGAACGGAAAGGCCCUGCUUUUGUGGGGUGCUCGAGUGGCGAACGGGUGAGUAACACGUGAGUAACCUGCCCUUGACUUUGGGAUAACUUCAGGAAGCUGGGGCUAAUACCGGAUAGGAGCUCCUGCUGCAUGGUGGGGGUUGGAAAGUUUCGGCGGUUGGGGAUGGACUCGCGGCUUAUCAGCUUGUUGGUGGGGUAGUGGCUUACCAAGGCUUUGACGGGUAGCCGGCCUGAGAGGGUGACCGGCCACAUUGGGACUGAGAUACGGCCCAGACUCCCACGGGAGGCAGCAGUGGGGAAUAUUGCACAAUGGGCGGAAGCCUGAUGCAGCAACGCCGCGUGCGGGAUGACGGCCUUCGGGUUGUAAACCGCUUUCGCCUGUGACGAAGCGUGAGUGACGGUAAUGGGUAAAGAAGCACCGGCUAACUACGUG